AUGUAGAUCAAUUUAUAUACAUAUACAUAGUAGUGUAUAUAUGUAGUUUAUGUUUUAUAAAAAAUAUUUCAUUCAACUCGCAUUCCAGUUGGCUUGCACUUUUGUUGUUGUUGUCUUUUAUGCUGCGUCUUUUAACUGUUUAUCUAUAGCUCAAUAUACACAUAUAGACAUAUAUAUCCAGCCAUAUAGUUCGAUCUGUAGCUUGUCUUUUGUUUGAACAUUCUCUGAUUGUCGUUGGCAUCGGGGAUUGGGUUCUGGUCUGGUAUUAUGGACUUUUUUUUUUUUUGGCUCCUGCCUUCUUUGCACUGGUUUUCACAUGUUUUGGAAUCCGUGAAAACAGGUGAAACACAAGCGGAAUUCGUUGAUAUGUGUGUGCAUGGCUGUAUGUGUGUGUGUGUGUGUGU
Molecule: long non-coding RNA, 404 nt
Organism: Drosophila navojoa
Lineage: Eukaryota; Metazoa; Arthropoda; Insecta; Diptera; Drosophilidae
Source: RefSeq, a predicted model, not a curated record